UGGGGAAUAUUGCGGCAAUGGGGGCAACCCUGACGCAGCAACGCCGCGUGAAGGAUGAAGGCUUUCGGGUCGUAAACUUUUGUCAUAAGGGACGAAAUUUGACGGUACCUUAUGAGGAAGCCACGGCUAACUACGUGCCAGCAGCCGCGGUAAUACGUAGGUGGCGAGCGUUGUCCGGAAUUACUGGGUGUAAAGGGCGCGUAGACGGGUAAGUAAGUCAGAUGUGAAAUACCGGGGCUCAACUCCGGGGCUGCAUUUGAAACUAUUUAUCUUGAGUGCAGGAGAGGGAAGCGGAAUUCCUAGUGUAGCGGUGAAAUGCGUAGAUAUUAGGAGGACACCAGUGGCGAAGGCGGCUUUCUGGACUGUAACUGACGUUGAGGCG
Molecule: ribosomal RNA, 382 nt
Filed under: uncultured Clostridium sp.
Lineage: Bacteria; Bacillati; Bacillota; Clostridia; Eubacteriales; Clostridiaceae
Description: bacterial SSU rRNA
Rfam family: Bacterial small subunit ribosomal RNA
Source: RNAcentral